GCCAUUGUAGCUCAGCUGGUAGAGCACUUCACUCGUAAUGAAGGGGUCGCGUGUUCAAGUCACGUCAAUGGCU
This 73-nucleotide transfer RNA is filed under the name Lachnoclostridium edouardi. Its description in RNAcentral is "tRNA-Thr". It matches the Rfam family "tRNA". Rfam says of the family: Transfer RNA (tRNA) molecules are approximately 80 nucleotides in length. Lineage: Bacteria; Bacillati; Bacillota; Clostridia; Lachnospirales; Lachnospiraceae. The record is from RNAcentral.